UGGUUAAUGUGAUGUCUCCUUGCUGC
Molecule: non-coding RNA, 26 nt
Filed under: Rattus norvegicus (Norway rat)
Lineage: Eukaryota; Metazoa; Chordata; Mammalia; Rodentia; Muridae
Source: RNAcentral